CAGCCGCCGCGGUAAUACAGAGGGUGCGAGCGUUAAUCGGAUUUACUAAGCGUAAAGCGUGCGUAGGCGGCUAAUUGAGUCGGAUGUGAAAUCCCCGAGCUUAACUUGGGAAUUGCAUUCGAUACUGGUUAGCUAGAGUGUGGGAGAGGAUGGUAGAAUUCCGGGUGUAGCGGUGAAAUGCGUAGAGAUCUGGAGGAAUACCGAUGGCGAAGGCAGCCAUCUGGCCUAACACUGACGCUGAGGUACGAAAGCAUGGGGAGCAAACAGGAUUAGAUACCCCCGUAGUCCCUGUCUCUUAUAC
RNAcentral lists this ribosomal RNA (301 nucleotides) under uncultured bacterium. RNAcentral's name for it is "partial 16S ribosomal RNA". It matches the Rfam family "Bacterial small subunit ribosomal RNA", at positions 509 to 807 of the family's 1533-position model. The record is from RNAcentral.